RNAcentral lists this ribosomal RNA (185 nucleotides) under uncultured Gemmatimonadota bacterium. RNAcentral describes it as "uncultured Gemmatimonadetes bacterium partial 16S ribosomal RNA". It matches the Rfam family "Bacterial small subunit ribosomal RNA", at positions 337 to 513 of the family's 1533-position model. Lineage: Bacteria; Pseudomonadati; Gemmatimonadota. The record is from RNAcentral.
UCCUACGGGAGGCAGCAGUGGGGAAUAUCGCGCAAUGGGCGAAAGCCUGACGCAGCGACGCCGCGUGCGGGAGGAAGCCCUUCGGGGUGUAAACCGCUGUCAGGGGGGACGAAAGCGGGCGGGGCUAAUACCCUCGUCCAGUGACGGUACCCUCAAAGGAAGCACCGGCUAACUCUGUGCCAGCA